This 754-nucleotide ribosomal RNA is filed under the name Arthrobacter sp. mf19-1. RNAcentral's name for it is "bacterial SSU rRNA". It matches the Rfam family "Bacterial small subunit ribosomal RNA", at positions 56 to 824 of the family's 1533-position model. RNAcentral also lists the same sequence under 1 other name. The record is from RNAcentral. Lineage: Bacteria; Bacillati; Actinomycetota; Actinomycetes; Micrococcales; Micrococcaceae.
UGCAGUCGAACGAUGAAGCCCAGCUUGCUGGGUGGAUUAGUGGCGAACGGGUGAGUAACACGUGAGUAACCUGCCCCCGACUCUGGGAUAAGCCCGGGAAACUGGGUCUAAUACCGGAUAUUACCUUUGACCGCAUGGUUGUUGGUGGAAAGAUUUAUCGGUGGGGGAUGGACUCGCGGCCUAUCAGCUUGUUGGUGAGGUAAUGGCUCACCAAGGCGACGACGGGUAGCCGGCCUGAGAGGGUGACCGGCCACACUGGGACUGAGACACGGCCCAGACUCCUACGGGAGGCAGCAGUGGGGAAUAUUGCACAAUGGGCGAAAGCCUGAUGCAGCGACGCCGCGUGAGGGAUGACGGCCUUCGGGUUGUAAACCUCUUUCAGUAGGGAAGAAGCGAAAGUGACGGUACCUGCAGAAGAAGCGCCGGCUAACUACGUGCCAGCAGCCGCGGUAAUACGUAGGGCGCAAGCGUUAUCCGGAUUUAUUGGGCGUAAAGAGCUCGUAGGCGGUUUGUCGCGUCUGCCGUGAAAGUCCGAGGCUCAACCUCGGAUCUGCGGUGGGUACGGGCAGACUAGAGUGAUGUAGGGGAGACUGGAAUUCCUGGUGUAGCGGUGAAAUGCGCAGAUAUCAGGAGGAACACCGAUGGCGAAGGCAGGUCUCUGGGCAUUUACUGACGCUGAGGAGCGAAAGCAUGGGGAGCGAACAGGAUUAGAUACCCUGGUAGUCCAUGCCGUAAACGUUGGGCACUAGGUGUG